AGAAUCAACGCUGGCGGCGUGCCUAACACAUGCAAGUCGAACGAGAAAAUGGAGCAAUCCAUGAGUAAAGUGGCGCACGGGUGAGUAACACGUGACUAACCUACCCUUGAGGUGGGGGAUAACUUCGGGAACCGAGGCUAAUACCGCAUAAUACCUACGGGUCAAAGGAGCAAUUCGCUUUAGGGAGGGGGUCGCGGUGAUUAGUUAGUUGGCGGGGUAAUGGCCCACCAAGACAGUGAUCGAU
This 244-nucleotide ribosomal RNA is filed under the name uncultured bacterium. Its description in RNAcentral is "partial small subunit ribosomal RNA". It matches the Rfam family "Bacterial small subunit ribosomal RNA", at positions 26 to 284 of the family's 1533-position model. The record is from RNAcentral.